GGAGGGAUGCCCGAGUGGUUAAAGGGGACGGACUGUAAAUCCGUUGGUUCGCCUACGUUGGUUCAAAUCCAACUCCCUCCACCA
RNAcentral lists this transfer RNA (84 nucleotides) under Aureimonas glaciei. Its description in RNAcentral is "tRNA-Tyr". It matches the Rfam family "tRNA". Rfam says of the family: Transfer RNA (tRNA) molecules are approximately 80 nucleotides in length. Their secondary structure includes four short double-helical elements and three loops (D, anti-codon, and T loops). Further hydrogen bonds mediate the characteristic L-shaped molecular structure. tRNAs have two regions of fundamental functional importance: the anti-codon, which is responsible for specific mRNA codon recognition, and the 3' end, to which the tRNAs corresponding amino acid is attached (by aminoacyl-tRNA synthetases). tRNAs cope with the degeneracy of the genetic code in two manners: having more than one tRNA (with a specific anti-codon) for a particular amino acid; and 'wobble' base-pairing, i.e. permitting non-standard base-pairing at the 3rd anti-codon position. Lineage: Bacteria; Pseudomonadati; Pseudomonadota; Alphaproteobacteria; Hyphomicrobiales; Aurantimonadaceae. RNAcentral also lists the same sequence under 4 other names. The record is from RNAcentral.